Molecule: non-coding RNA, 88 nt
Organism: Gossypium raimondii (Peruvian cotton)
Lineage: Eukaryota; Viridiplantae; Streptophyta; Magnoliopsida; Malvales; Malvaceae
Source: Rfam
GAAAGUCGUGUGCAAUGAAAAAUGCAAGCUCGAUUUGGGGAGGGAUUUUUUAUUCUUUAAAAUUUUUUUCUUAAAAGACCAUUCCAAC